UCCGAGUUGACCCCGGCAGUCUCCUAUGAGUCCCCACCAUCACGUGCUGGCAACAUAGAACGAGGGUUGCGCUCGUUGCGGGACUUAACCCAACAUCUCACGACACGAGCUGACGACAACCAUGCACCACCUCUGCUGGCUCCCUUGCGGGUCAGUCCAUGUUUCCAAAGACUUACCACCAGUAGUUCAAGCCCAGGUAAGGUUCUUCGCGUUGCGUCGAAUUAAACCACAUGCUCCACCGCUUGUGCGGGCCCCCGUCAAUUCCUUUGAGUUUUAGCCUUGCGGCCGUACUCCCCAGGCGGUCAACUUAACGCGUUAGCUUCGCAACCGAAAGGGUCGACUCUCCCGAUUGCUAGUUGACAUAGUUUAGGGCGUGGACUAC
Molecule: unclassified non-coding RNA, 382 nt
Filed under: uncultured bacterium
Lineage: Bacteria
Description: contains 16S-23S intergenic spacer region
Source: RNAcentral